GUCCACGCCCUAAACGAUGUCAACUGGUUGUUGGGGGAUUUAUUCUCUUAGUAACGAAGCUAACGCGUGAAGUUGACCGCCUGGGGAGUACGGUCGCAAGAUUAAAACUCAAAGGAAUUGACGGGGGCCCGCACAAGCGGUGGAUGAUGUGGAUUAAUUCGAUGCAACGCGAAAAACCUUACCUACCCUUGACAUGUCCGAAAGCCUGAAGAGAUUUAGGUGUGCUCGAAAGAGAAUCGGAACACAGGUGCUGCAUGGCUGUCGU
RNAcentral lists this ribosomal RNA (265 nucleotides) under uncultured bacterium. RNAcentral describes it as "partial 16S ribosomal RNA". It matches the Rfam family "Bacterial small subunit ribosomal RNA", at positions 793 to 1055 of the family's 1533-position model. The record is from RNAcentral.